This 429-nucleotide ribosomal RNA is filed under the name uncultured bacterium. RNAcentral describes it as "bacterial SSU rRNA". It matches the Rfam family "Bacterial small subunit ribosomal RNA", at positions 30 to 457 of the family's 1533-position model. The record is from RNAcentral.
AUUGAACGCUGGCGGCAUGCCUUACACAUGCAAGUCGAACGGCAGCGGACCUUCGGGUGCCGGCGAGUGGCGAACGGGUGAGUAAUGCAUCGGAACGUGCCAUUGAGUGGGGGAUAACGUAGCGAAAGUUACGCUAAUACCGCAUAUUCUGUGAGCAGGAAAGCAGGGGACCGCAAGGCCUUGCGCUCUUUGAGCGGCCGAUGUCAGAUUAGCUAGUUGGUGAGGUAAAGGCUUACCAAGGCGACGAUCUGUAGCGGGUCUGAGAGGAUGAUCCGCCACACUGGAACUGAGACACGGUCCAGACUCCUACGGGAGGCAGCAGUGGGGAAUUUUCGACAAUGGGCGCAAGCCUGAUCCAGCCAUGCCGCGUGAGUGAAGAAGGCCUUCGGGUUGGUUAAAGACUCUUUCGGUCCGGGAACGGAAAUACGC